RNAcentral lists this long non-coding RNA (391 nucleotides) under Zostera marina. RNAcentral describes it as "long non-coding RNA (ZMAR_LNC002197)". Lineage: Eukaryota; Viridiplantae; Streptophyta; Magnoliopsida; Alismatales; Zosteraceae. The record is from RNAcentral.
AGAUGUAAAGGCUAGAAAUCGUGGACCGUUGAGAUCGACCUGGUUGGCCCAAGUUUGACUAAUAACAGAAGAAGAAAAACUACCAGUGCUCAAUGUAACUGUAACAAUAACAGUUAAUAAGUAAAUAUCUAAAACUUACCUUAUAUCAACAGCAUAAUUAUCUGAGCUGCUUCUUAUUGCAGGAGGAACGGAGUAAUCCGGAGCAUAAACCUAUUAAUCAAUUAAUGUAAUUUUCUUCUUCUAAAGUCUAAUGAAUGAUAUUAAUAUUAAACAAAUCUGACCUGAUUGCAAAUUUCACAGGUGAUGUCACCCUUCUUGUUGCACCAUUUCUGGAUGCACUUCCUAUGCGCAAACUAAACAGUAGCAGGAGAUGUUAUAAUUAAUAUCGACG